GAUGAACGCUGGCGGCGUGCCUAAUACAUGCAAGUCGAGCGAACGGACGAGAAGCUUGCUUCUCUGAUGUUAGCGGCGGACGGGUGAGUAACACGUGGAUAACCUACCUAUAAGACUGGGAUAACUUCGGGAAACCGGAGCUAAUACCGGAUGAUAUUUUGAACCGCAUGGUUCAAAAGUGAAAGACGGUCUUGCUGUCACUUAUAGAUGGAUCCGCGCUGCAUUAGCUAGUUGGUAAGGUAACGGCUUACCAAGGCAACGAUACAUAGCCGACCUGAGAGGGUGAUCGGCCACACUGGAACUGAGACACGGUCCAGACUCCUACGGGAGGCAGCAGUAGGGAAUCUUCCGCAAUGGGCGAAGGCCUGACGGAGCAACGCCGCGUGAGUGAUGAAGGUCUUCGGAUCGUAAAACUCUGUUAUUAGGGAAGAACAUAUGUGUAAGUAACUGUGCACAUCUUGACGGUACCUAAUCAGAAAGCCACGGCUAACUACGUG
Molecule: ribosomal RNA, 497 nt
Filed under: uncultured bacterium
Lineage: Bacteria
Description: partial 16S ribosomal RNA
Rfam family: Bacterial small subunit ribosomal RNA
Source: RNAcentral